CCUACGGGUGGCAGCAGUGAGGAAUAUUGGUCAAUGGACGCAAGUCUGAACCAGCCAUGCCGCGUGCAGGACGACGGCUCUAUGAGUUGUAAACUGCUUUUGUACGAGGGUAAAACGCUAUACGUGUAUCUGUCUGAAAGUAUCGUACGAAUAAGGAUCGGCUAACUCCGUGCCAGCAGCCGCGGUAAUACGGAGGAUUCAAGCGUUAUCCGGAUUCAUUGGGUUUAAAGGGUGCGUAGGGGGUCCGUUAAGUCAGCGGUAAAAUUGCGGGGCUCAACCCCGGCGAGCCGUUGAUACUGGUAGACUAGAGUUGGCGAGAAGUACGCGGAAUGCGCGGUGUAGCGGUGAAAUGCAUAGAUAUCGCGCAGAACUCCGAUUGCGAAGGCAGCGUACCGGCGCCAGACUGACGCUGAGGCACGAAAGCGUGGGGAUCGAACAGGAUUAGAUACCCGGGUAGUC
Molecule: ribosomal RNA, 459 nt
Filed under: uncultured bacterium
Lineage: Bacteria
Description: partial 16S ribosomal RNA
Rfam family: Bacterial small subunit ribosomal RNA
Source: RNAcentral